Molecule: long non-coding RNA, 319 nt
Organism: Dermacentor silvarum
Lineage: Eukaryota; Metazoa; Arthropoda; Arachnida; Ixodida; Ixodidae
Exons: 3
Source: RefSeq, a predicted model, not a curated record
UCGUGCGAGUACGACGGCGGCACGGGCGAUCAGCAGCGGUGGGCCGCCAUGUGCGCUGGGUCCGCGGGCCCAGGAGUGCGUGCUGUAGAGCUGCGAACCUGUGCCUAUUUCGAUUAAAGUGGGACAUCAACACUAAUAAGAACGCCACCAAAGAAAGCAGAACCCAGGGCUCUCCAUUGGAACUUAAGAGCGUACCCCAGCACCGGUACGACGGUCACCUGGAGGCCCAGGAGUCAUCAGGACAAAUAACCCUGAAUAUAUAUGAAUGAUAUCUAAUGCGUUUGUGAUGACGGAGCAAUUAUGUCAAAAUGAAACAUAU